RNAcentral lists this ribosomal RNA (468 nucleotides) under uncultured bacterium. RNAcentral describes it as "partial 16S ribosomal RNA". It matches the Rfam family "Bacterial small subunit ribosomal RNA", at positions 28 to 507 of the family's 1533-position model. The record is from RNAcentral.
GACGAACGCUGGCGGCGUGCUUAACACAUGCAAGUCGAACGGAAAGGCCCUGCUUUUGUGGGGUGCUCGAGUGGCGAACGGGUGAGUAACACUUGAGUAACCUGCCCUUGACUUUGGGAUAACUUCAGGAAACUGGGGCUAAUACCGGAUAGGAGCUCCUGCUUCAUGGUGGGGGUUGGAAAGUUUCGGCGGUUGGGGAUGGACUCGCGGCUUAUCAGCUUGUUGGUGGGGUAGUGGCUUACCAAGGCUUUGACGGGUAGCCGGCCUGAGAGGGUGACCGGCCAAAUUGGGACUGAGAUACGGCCCAGACUACUACGGGAGGCAGCAGUGGGGAAUAUUGCACAAUGGGCGGAAGCCUGAUGCAGCAACGCCGCGUGCGGGAUGACGGCCUUCGGGUUGUAAACCGCUUUCGCCUGUGACGAAGCGUGAGUGACGGUAAUGGGUAAAGAAGCACCGGCUAACUACGUG